GAUGAAGAACGCAGCGAAAUGCGAUAAGUAAUGUGAAUUGCAGAAUUCAGUGAAUCAUCGAAUCUUUGAACGCACCUUGCACCCUUUGGCAUUCCGAAGGGUAUGCUCGUUUGAGUGUCAUUGUACUCUCACACUCUCCGAUCCUAUGGAUUCGGGGAGCGGUGGACUUGGGUGUUGCUGCCUUUCCUUGUGGCUCACCUCAAAUGCGUCAGUGCACCUCUUGGUUGGACAUAGUACGGCGUGAUAAGUGUCUUCGCCGGCACCUCGCAAGAGGGUGGCCGAUCGGGAGCUCUGCGCUUUCAAACCGUCUUCGGACAAUUUCUGACAACUUGACCUCAAAUCGAGUAGGACUACCCGCUGAACUUAAGCAUAUCAAUAAGCGGAGGA
Molecule: unclassified non-coding RNA, 387 nt
Filed under: soil metagenome
Description: partial contains 5.8S ribosomal RNA, internal transcribed spacer 2, and large subunit ribosomal RNA
Rfam family: 5.8S ribosomal RNA (bases 1-120)
Source: RNAcentral